UGUAGCUCAUGGUUAAAAGAGUGCUUGUCUAACAUACAUGAGUUCCUGGGUUCAAUUCCCAGUA
RNAcentral lists this transfer RNA (64 nucleotides) under Urocitellus parryii (Arctic ground squirrel). RNAcentral's name for it is "Spermophilus parryii (Arctic ground squirrel) tRNA". It matches the Rfam family "tRNA", at positions 6 to 65 of the family's 71-position model. Rfam says of the family: Transfer RNA (tRNA) molecules are approximately 80 nucleotides in length. Their secondary structure includes four short double-helical elements and three loops (D, anti-codon, and T loops). The record is from Rfam by way of RNAcentral. RNAcentral also lists the same sequence under 1 other name. Lineage: Eukaryota; Metazoa; Chordata; Mammalia; Rodentia; Sciuridae.